GAGAGAGACAUGCGCGCAUAUCAAUAAGCGGAGGAAAAGAAACUAACAAGGAUUCCCUUAGUAACGGCGAGUGAAGCGGGAAGAGCUCAAAUUUGAAAUCUUCAAGGUUUUACCUUGACGAAUUGUAGUUUAAAGAAGUGUUUUCUGCUGAAGUUUUGGUAAAAGUUCUUUGGAAUAGGACAUCAUAGAGGGUGAGAAUCCCGUAUUUGACCAUUAUUUUCAGCUUUGUGAUACACUUUCAAAGAGUCGGAUUGUUUGGGAAUGCAGUCCAAAAUGGGUGGUAAAUUUCAUCUAAAGCUAAAUAUUGGCGAGAGACCGAUAGCGAACAAGUACCGUGAGGGAAAGAUGAAAAGAACUUUGAAAAGAGAGUUAAACAGUACGUGAAAUUGUCAGAAGGGAAGCGUUUGACACCAGUGUUGUUUUCUCGAAAAUCAAUUAUAAAAUGGCUCGAUUUUGUAUUGUUGAGACCUUAAAAGCUCACUGUACAUUUUUCGUGUCUUUUUUAAUGCACUUUUCGUUUAACAAGUCAACAUCAGUUUCUUUUGUUGUAAAAGGGUCAUUGGAAGGUGGCUUUCUUUUCGGAGAAAGUGUUUAUAGCCUUUGGCCUCUGCAAUCGGAAGAGACUGAGGUCUGCAGCGUAGACUCUUCGGGGUUAGAUACAUUUGUGCUAAGUUAUAGCUUCUUAUAGACAACUUGUUGACUAUAAUUAGUCUUGUAGCUUACUCGCUUAUGCUAUUUUACCUACGCUUAGGAUGUUGAAGAUGUAGCACAUCAU
This 775-nucleotide ribosomal RNA is filed under the name uncultured Neocallimastigales. Its description in RNAcentral is "partial large subunit ribosomal RNA". It matches the Rfam family "Eukaryotic large subunit ribosomal RNA", at positions 23 to 620 of the family's 3401-position model. The record is from RNAcentral. Lineage: Eukaryota; Fungi; Neocallimastigomycota; Neocallimastigomycetes; Neocallimastigales.